UUGCUUACGCAGCAUGUGUGCUAAAAUUGGAAUGAUAUGGACAAGAUUAGCACUGGCCCUGUGCAAGAGAUGACAAGGAAAUUCAUGAAAUGUUCCAAUUUUUC
This is a small nuclear RNA of Oryctolagus cuniculus (rabbit), 104 nucleotides long. Lineage: Eukaryota; Metazoa; Chordata; Mammalia; Lagomorpha; Leporidae. The record is from Ensembl.